AACGAACGCUGGCGGCAUGCCUAACACAUGCAAGUCGAACGAUGCUUUCGGGCAUAGUGGCGCACGGGUGCGUAACGCGUGGGAAUCUGCCCUUGGGUUCGGCAUAACAGUGAGAAAUUGCUGCUAAUACCGGAUGAUGUCUUCGGACCAAAGAUUUAUCGCCCAGGGAGGAGCCCGCGUAGGAUUAGCUAGUUGGUGGGGUAAUGGCCUACCAAGGCGACGAUCCUUAGCUGGUCUGAGAGGAUGAUCAGCCACACUGGGACUGAGACACGGCCCAGACUCCUACGGGAGGCAGCAGUGGGGAAUAUUGGAAAAUGGGCGCAAGCCUGAUCCAGCAAUGCCGCGUGAGUGAUGAAGGCCUUAGGGUUGUAAAGCUCUUUUACCCGGGAUGAUAAUGACAGUACCGGGAGAAUAAGCUCCGGCUAACUCCGUG
RNAcentral lists this ribosomal RNA (433 nucleotides) under uncultured bacterium. RNAcentral's name for it is "partial 16S ribosomal RNA". It matches the Rfam family "Bacterial small subunit ribosomal RNA", at positions 29 to 507 of the family's 1533-position model. The record is from RNAcentral.